UUCGCCUUCUUCUUUCACUUUCGUUCUUCUUCACUGUUAUACAGAAAAAAAAUCUCAUUUCUCCCACCACCGUUAUCUCCCUCGCUUCCACCACCAUCACCACAAUUUUUAUCGCCGCACCACAACUAGUACCACCACCUCUGUCACGUUCGCUACUAAUAUCAGCAGAUCUAUCAUGAUUUAUGUUCGAUUUCAAUUGAUUUUUAAAUGAGAUCCAUAGAUUGAUUUGUCUUUAGGUUUCGAUUUCGAGUUGCCGAUUCAGAUUUGUUCUUUUUUAUGUUUUCAAUUUCAACUAAUUCAUGAACCAGAUUCACAGAUCGAUUCGAGUUGUAAAUUCAGAUUUCAGAGAGAUCAAUUUGGUUUAGCAAUUGAAGAUGGUGGUAUUUGAGAAGAAACUGUGAAUGGGAAGUGAAGCUGUAAUUGUUGUUGAUGUACAGUCCUUGCGGAUGUUGCAGUAGUGGUGGUGCUGGCGGUGGUGGUGAAGGAUAUAUAUCAAAUCUCUAUUGGUGUUAUUGGUGGUGGAUGUUGCGGCAAUGGUGAUGGAUGUUUGUUGCACCUGAGGUGGUGGAGAUGGAGAAUCUGUGUGAUUGUUGUUGUGGUGGUAGUGGUAGUGUGCCUAUUUUCAUUUGUUUCAGGGAAGUUGCUUGGGGAUUCGUUAGUUGUCCAGUUAUUGGUUGCUAUGACUCAUGCAUUAGUAGUUGUCGUUAUGAUCUCCGCUGGUCAACAAACCUCUAUUGCUCAUCUUAACCUUGCUCUCACUCUUGGUCUUACGGCCAGUGGACAUAUGACUAUUCUUAGAUCCAUCCUUUAUGUUGUCGAUCAAUUAUUAGCCUCUGCAUUAGCAUGUGCUCUUGUCAAGUAUCUUACAGGUGGAUUGGUAAGGAAUUUAUCUCUAACGCGAGGUAAUGAUUUAGUAUAUGCACAUUAAAUCUAUGGGUAUAUUUGUUACGUGAGUGAUGAAAAUGUGUAGUUCCUCGAUGUUUAGUUACUUUAGCGAUGAGAAUGUGAAUAUGCACUAAAAUUGGUGUAGACAAAAUGGUAGCUGAGUUGAUGGAUUAUUGUUUAAUGUAAUACAGGUCGAGAAAUGAUUAAGAAGGGACAAGGACAGGACAUAGUUGCUCAUUACAUGCACUUAGGAAUUGAGAAUAAAUUAUUGCAGUCUUAUCUGUCAGUUUAUCUUGUAUGUUGUUGCCAUUAGUUUAUCUUGUAAGAUGUUGCCAUUUGUUUAUGCAAAUUUAUAUGUAUGAUACCAUAACAUUUAUUUCUUAUUGGAACUGUUGCUACAGUGCCUCGGCUAAAGAUGUGUAAUACCAGACCUAGAUGUAUAAUACCAGACCUAAAGGAAAGAUUUCAGGUUAUGAA
RNA transcript from Papaver somniferum (opium poppy), 1362 nucleotides. It is a transcript of the gene named aquaporin TIP4-1-like, with no coding region annotated. Lineage: Eukaryota; Viridiplantae; Streptophyta; Magnoliopsida; Ranunculales; Papaveraceae. The record is from RefSeq and is a predicted model, not a curated record. The transcript is spliced from 4 exons.